AUGCAGAGACCCACGAACCCAAGGAGGUGGCUGCCCUCGUCGGCGGGGAAUGCCAAGAUAAAUGUUGACGCGGCUGUGUCUAGGCAGGGAUUCGGUUCUAUUGGAGUGAUCUGCAGAAAUCAUGAAGGCAUGUUCAUCGGCGCAUCAACUUUUGGCUUCAACAAUAUUGCAGAUCCACCGACCCUUGAAGCUCUAGCCAUUAGAGAAGCUCUGGCCCUGGCAGAUGACCUAUAUCUGAGGUGGGUUGAAGUUGCACCGGAUUGCAAAGUGGUGGUGGAAGAUUUACAGAAGGAUAAUCUUGCGAGCUAUGGUGCAAUUGUCCAUGAAAUAGUAGCUCACUCUUCAGCUUUCAAUUUUGUAACUUUAAACAUGAAUUUAGGAGCUCCAAUUACGAAGCUCACAACUUAG
RNAcentral lists this ribosomal RNA (408 nucleotides) under Triticum aestivum (bread wheat). Its description in RNAcentral is "partial small subunit ribosomal RNA". The record is from RNAcentral. Lineage: Eukaryota; Viridiplantae; Streptophyta; Magnoliopsida; Poales; Poaceae.